Paramisgurnus dabryanus is the source of this 1531-nucleotide long non-coding RNA. RefSeq lists it as uncharacterized. The record is from RefSeq and is a predicted model, not a curated record. Lineage: Eukaryota; Metazoa; Chordata; Actinopteri; Cypriniformes; Cobitidae.
UGCUCAUCUAGCGCGUAUUUCUUUAUUAAUAUCUGCUGGGUGAAUAUUAAUACGUAUAUGCUAACAUUAAUUUUGUGACCACAAAAUGACAGCGAGCUAUUAUACGAGAUAUUGUGUCGUCGUGUUUGUCUUCACUCACUUCAUCAUUAUCUGCAAACAACUUCUGCAACUACACAAUGAUUGUCUGCCUGUGUGCAAAAUAAAGCACGUUCACUGUGUAAAACCCCGCGCAGGACAUUUUCAAAUUAACGGUCAGGGCGAGUCUGAGCUUAUCGUGUUGUGUUGACAGAGACUUUGCUGAGGUAAGUAAGAGAAAGAAAUUAAUGUGUUAAAUAAAUAACGUUAUAAACUUGAAUUAUGUUGUGCCAGAAUACGUUGUUUAAUGAAUAUCUGUGGAAUAGGUUUAAAAUAAUACAUUAAUGACUGAACGUGAACUUGACUGAACAUUAUGGCAGCUAGAAGUAUUGAAAAGACGUAUAAUAGAUUUAACAAUGUUUUAUCUUCUUUAUUAGUGUAUGUAAAUCUGGGCUACAGUCCACGACAAAUUUUCUACGGUAGUUUUACGCCUGCAUGCUGGUCCUUUCGUCUAUCGCGGGGAUAUCAUCACUUCAGCGGACAUCGCACUGAAGAGAUCCUUCCUGUGCUUGCGUGGCGGUGUGUUUGUGUGCUCACUUGGAUUGAGACCAGCAGUGCUUUUUUAAACAGUGGAUUCUUUAUGACAUCAAGAUGUGGUUUGGGAAGGACCUUCAUCUAAAUCUGAAGACAGGACAUACUGGCUCAAAAAGGUGUUUCUGAUAUGGAGAAAAACCCUGCACUGCUCAUUUUAUUUCUUCAUCUUGAGAAUACAGCAAGUUUACCUUUUGUCUGGAAAAUGAUUCAGCAAAGCUAACACCAACAACAAUUUUUCAUGGCACUUUAAACCACCUUGAUGUGAGGAGCCAGCAUCAGAAUGGAUGGUGUCAAUAUCCUGAAAGUGGAGGUAACAGAGGUGGAUCUCGAGACUUGGCCAUGUUCUAGAUUAUAACUGGAUUAUCACAAGUGCUGUCGCCCCUGCUGUAUAUGACGCCCCCACCACCUACACCAGGUGUAGGAAAUGUCGGUCCUGGUGUGCCGUUGUCCUGCAGAGUUUUGCUCCAGCUCUAAACAAACACACCUGAACAACUAGAUCUGAAGAGUCACCAGAAAACUACAGGUAGGCGAGGUUUUAUCAGGGUUGGAAAUGAAAUCUGCAGGAUUUCGACACUCCAGGACCGACGUUGCCUACUACUGACCUACACCUUCAUCCUGCCACCACCACCCAUACUACCUACAAAAAACUGUAUUGUAAUUAUGCUUUUCACUGUAUUGUAUGAUGUGGUUUUCUCAUUUAGGGUAACUACACUAUGGCAACAAUUGGAUACAUUGAUUGCUGACUGAUUUUGUUAUUUUUUCUUUACUUUUUGUUUAAAAUCUAAUCAUUUUUUUUGUUAUUUUUGUUAAUAUUGUUACAAAUAUACAGUUAAAACUGCACAAUAAAUUUUCUGCUUUUAAA